Salvia splendens (bonfire salvia) is the source of this 3041-nucleotide RNA transcript. It is a transcript of the gene named aluminum-activated malate transporter 9, with no coding region annotated. The transcript has 7 exons. Lineage: Eukaryota; Viridiplantae; Streptophyta; Magnoliopsida; Lamiales; Lamiaceae. The record is from RefSeq and is a predicted model, not a curated record.
GUGUGGUUAGUCAGCCCAAAAUCAAGACGAUGCCUCAUCAUAUGUAUCUGAUGCCUCAAUUAUUACAAUCAACACAAUGUGUUCAAUUCAAAAACAAAUUCAUGAAAAAUAUACCAAAUGCUUCAGAUCUAUAACAGAACAAGAAGCAUGCAUCAUACAUCCCCUAUCUGUAGUCAAAAUCAUAUCUCCAUACUCUUCACCAACAUUUCAUUAUCAGUUCUUUUAGUGAAUAUGUGCUCAUAUUCAAUUAUUUCUAGGAAUAUAUCUAAUAAUAGCAUCUCUCACAAACCGGAUAACACGUAAGAAUAGGUUCGAAUGUAGAAUUAUUGUGAGGAUAGGAUUAAAACACAAAUGUAAGGGGAGAGCUUCAAAUGCUUGGACAAAAGAAGUGUUGUUGAGGGAAUGAAACAUAUUCCAAUUUCUAUGAUUACAACUACUUGCAAACAAUAGCCCUAGUUUUAGAUAUUUUCACUGUAUUUUCUAGGUUAAACUAAUUUGAUAAAUAAGGAAAUGAAACAUGUAAUGACCUGACAAUUUUGCAGCAUCUGCAUCUUAAAAUUAGAAAGCAAAGCAUGGAAAAAAAACACUCCAUUUUGUCAUGAUCUGUGAAAUCAGCUACUAUAUAUGAUGUCAAUGGUGUUUCUUUUCAUUAAGAAUGACAUAAGAAAGAUAUUAUGCAGAGCAUAGACAAUGAAGCAUGCAAGGUCUGCAAUAGCCUAUUAGAUUCUAAUUCUCCAUUUGUGCAACAUUAUUGAGGUUUAAGCAUCUUUUUAUCCAAGUGUUUAGCUCUAUCUUUCUAUCUAUUAUUUCUGUAUUAUUCUACUUUUCCAUGCAUCAACCACUUAGACCGAAUCCUGCUCUUUAAAUCACAUUCAUCUCUGCCAUUUUCACUCACCUCGUCGUCCCUGAUUUCCAACAAACAUUUGUUUGGAGAAUGAAUGGGGCGAAAGGUAGCAUUGAGAUCAACAUGCCUCCUAUCAGCAAAGAAAAAAAAGGAUCAGAAGCUAGCAAGAAAAUUGCUGAGAAAUACAGCUGCAAAAGCUUCAUUCUGGAAGUGUGGGAGUUUUGCAAAGAAGACACCAACAGAGUGACGUUUUCGCUUAAAGUGGGGCUUGCAGUUCUUCUAGUAUCUCUUCUGAUACUAUGCCGAGCGCCUUACCAAGUUUUCGGUGCCAGCAUUAUCUGGUCUAUCCUCACCGUUGCCAUCAUGUUUGAGUACACCGUCGGUGCAACUUUUAAUAGAGGAUUCAACCGAGCACUAGGCAGCCUGCUCGCUGGAGCCUUGGCCAUCGUCAUAGCAGAGUUAGCCUUGAAGUCAGGACAAACUGCUGAACCUGUUAUAAUUGGUUUCAGCAUCUUCAUAGUUGGAACUGUGACAUCAUUUAUGAAGCUGUGGCCAUCUUUAGUGCCAUAUGAGUAUGGAUUUCGAGUCAUACUUUUUACCUACUGUUUGAUCAUAGUUUCUGGAUAUCGUAUGGGGAACCCCAUCAUGACAGCCAUGGACCGUCUCUACUCGAUUGCUAUUGGAGCUAUAGUUGCAGUUGCAGUCAAUGUGCUCAUCUUUCCUAUAUGGGCUGGGGAACUGUUGCACAAGGAGAUUGUUAGCCACUUCACCUCUCUGGCUGAUGCUCUUCAAGAGUGUGUGGGGAAGUAUCUAAAAGAUGAUGGAUGCCAACAUCCCGAGUUUACAAAGACUGUGAUGGACGACUUUCCUGAUGAACCUGCAUAUCGAAAAUGUCGAUCCAUAUUAAACACCUCGGCAAAAAUAGAAUCACUGGCAAGUUCGGCGAAAUGGGAGCCACCCCAUGGUAGGUUCGUCCACAUCUUUUAUCCAUGGUCAGAAUAUGUGAAGGUGGGUGCAGUCCUCAGAUAUUGUACAUAUGAGGUCAUGGCUCUUCAUGGUGUUCUACAUUCAGAAAUUCAGGCACCAUAUAGCCUGAGAAUCGCGUUCCAGAAAGAGAUUGAAGAUGCAGCAAGAGAGGCGGCAGAGCUAGUUCGUUGUCUGGGAACAGACAUAUCUAACAUGCAACGAAGCCUCAAACCAUGCCUCCUCAUAAAGGUCCAUAGCUCUGCAGAAGCACUCCAACGCGCACUUGAUAUGCACUCGUACAUCCUCACAUCUCAUCACGGCCCUCCAGAUACUUCAUCUAAGGCACAGUCGAGGCUCUCUCAUGCACUGUCGUCGACCUUCUCUAAUCUGUCAAGCCACAUGAGUGAUCUUGACAACAAGCUUCUCGAGCACAGCUCUGACCUCCCAUCCCAACCACUGCAGGAAGAAUCCUAUCAUGAGACGAUGAGAAAACAAUCAAGAAGGCUCCAUUCCUGGCCAUCAAGAGAAGUCGAUGCUUUUGAAGAUGAAGGGAAUUUCAGUUCAGAUUGCAUUCCAAGGAUGAAAGCACUGGAGAGCACUGCUACUCUAUCACUUGCAACUUUUACCUCACUGCUCAUAGAGUUUGUGGCCCGGCUCGACCACUUGGUUGAGGCAGUCAAUCAGCUCUCAAAGAUGGCAAGAUAUGAGCAGGAGGCUCGCUAAGUAGGAAACAUAGUUACAUCUGUUAAUUAAAGCAUAUACAGUAUUGAUAUUGAUGUACAAGGUUCUGCCUCUAGGUGAUUGGGAAGCUUCUUUUUAUGAAUAAUUGGAAGGAAAAUAAAAUAAGAAACCUACUUUUGUGCUCGAAUCAGUACUACUUUGCAGAGAUUUUAUUUCCACCUUCCAUCUAGUGUAAUGCUUCAUCUUGUCCAACAUUACUAGAUUAACAUAAGAAUCUAUAUUAAGUUGAUUCUAGCAAGAGGCAUAAAAGUCAGCGUCACUACUGAGAAAAAGUAUUCAGAAUUAUGAGAUUUUCUGAUAACUCGAAUCUACAACUAGAUUUCCCAAUAACCUCAUCAUAUAUACAUACUUACUACUUACACAAGUAUUAGUCCCAAAAGUCAGAUUUGAGAUGGAAUUAUAAAAGAACAGUAACCAGAACGGUUAAUCAUGUUUUGGAAUCCCAAUAUCCAGCAUUUUCCAAAAAACACAAAUAACGUUUUUCCCGAAA